CAUAAGAAAAAAUAACUUGUGGAUUUAAUGUUGGAUUAGUAAUAUAUCUCACAUCUCCUCCUCCUGGCGCCCAUGUAUCAUAUACGCCACCAAAGAAUAAGGCUUUAACAACCAAUAAAAAUGAUCCAAUUCCUAAUAGUACUAAGUGAAUACCUAAAAUUGUAGUCAUUUUAUUUUUAUCACGCCA
RNAcentral lists this antisense RNA (187 nucleotides) under Rhodella violacea. Its description in RNAcentral is "Antisense RNA which regulates isiA expression". It matches the Rfam family "Antisense RNA which regulates isiA expression". Lineage: Eukaryota; Rhodophyta; Rhodellophyceae; Rhodellales; Rhodellaceae. The record is from Rfam by way of RNAcentral.